RNAcentral lists this ribosomal RNA (305 nucleotides) under uncultured bacterium. RNAcentral describes it as "partial 16S ribosomal RNA". It matches the Rfam family "Bacterial small subunit ribosomal RNA", at positions 505 to 809 of the family's 1533-position model. The record is from RNAcentral.
ACAGCAGCAGCCGCGGUAAAACGAAGGGUGCAAGCGUUACUCGGAAUUACUGGGCGUAAAGCGUGCGUAGGUGGUGGUUUAAGUCCGUUGUGAAAGCCCUGGGCUCAACCUGGGAAUUGCAGUGGAUACUGGGUCACUAGAGUGUGGUAGAGGAUAGUGGAAUUUCCGGUGUAGCAGUGAAAUGCGUAGAGAUCGGAAGGAACAUCUGUGGCGAAGGCGACUAUCUGGGCCAACACUGACACUGAGGCACGAAAGCGUGGGGAGCAAACAGGAUUAGAUACCCCAGUAGUCCCUGUCUCUUAUAA